UGUCCAUGGAUGGGAAUCGAACCCACAGUGUUCCGCUUACCGGGCAGAUGCCAUGUCUACCUUUAAGCCGC
This is a non-coding RNA of Cordylochernes scorpioides, 71 nucleotides long. Lineage: Eukaryota; Metazoa; Arthropoda; Arachnida; Pseudoscorpiones; Chernetidae. The record is from the annotation of a GenBank genome assembly.